AAAUAGACAUAGUCCUGAUCUUAUCAUCUUCUAUUACUUAAUUCAUACAUGCAAGCUUCAACAAUCCAGUGAGUAGACCCCUUAUAGUUCUUAAACAGAACCCAAGGAGCAAGCAUUAGGCACGACAUCCUGCCCAAAACGCUUAGUUCAACCACACCCCCAUGGGCUCCAGCAGUAGUAAACAUUUAGCAAUAAACGAAAGUUUGACUGAGUUAGAGUUUUAAGAGCUGGUUAAAUACGUGCCAGCAACCGCGGUUACACGUACAACUCAAGAAGAUGAUUUCACGGCGUAAAGGGUGGUUAGUUUUUCAUUUUAAUGAAGUUAAAUUUAUUUUCUUAAUGUCGUAAUAAGCGUUAAUAUUAGAAAUCCAACCACAAAAGUAAUUUCAGAGCAAAUGACUCCACGAAAACUAAGGUACAAACUGGGAUUAGAUACCCCACUAUGCUUAGAUGUAAACUUUGAUGUUUCUUACAAACACACAUUCGCCAGGCUAAUACGAGCAUUAGCUUAAAACCCAAAGGACCUGACGGUGUCUUAAACCCCUCUAGAGGAGCCUGUUCUAGAACCGAUGAUACACGUUUUACCCAACCUCUUCUUGCAACUCAGCUUGUAUAUUUCCGUCAUCAGUUUACCUCUUGAAGGUUUAGAAGUAUAACAAAAUAAAAAUAAGUCUUAAGUAUGGCAGGUCAAAAUGUAGCUAAUGGAGAGGGAAGUAAUGGGCUACAUUUUCUAAUCAGAAAACACGGAUAAAGAAGUGAAACAUUUUUUUGAAGGAGGAUUUAGUAGUAAGGAGGAAAUAGAGAGUCCUUCUGAACUAGGCCCUGAUACACGCACAAAUUGCCCGUCACCCCCUUUCGCCUUUUCCACAAGAUUCCUAAUCUAACCCUACUGAAAGAAGGGGUAAGUCGUAACAGAGUAAGUGUAGCGGAAGUUGCACUUGGAU
RNAcentral lists this non-coding RNA (944 nucleotides) under Danionella mirifica. RNAcentral describes it as "12S rRNA". It matches the Rfam family "Bacterial small subunit ribosomal RNA". The record is from RNAcentral. Lineage: Eukaryota; Metazoa; Chordata; Actinopteri; Cypriniformes; Danionidae.